AAAAAAUUCCUGCUCAUUAAUUUUCAGCAUUAAUUGUCUUCUCUCCCUGUGUUCAGGCUUGGAAGAAGUUCCCCAGUGGGACAGUGGAAGGUGCCCUGCCCAUGGAAGGGGUGGGAUGAGAUGAUCCUUCAUCUCCCUUCCAACCCCUACCACUCCAGGACCCUGCAGGAAUUCCUUCUUUUCCUCCCUGCCACUCCUGCAUCCCCACAUCAGGAAAGGAGGAGGUGUGUGAGGUGACAGCAAUCACACAGCCCCAGAGGGAGGAGGACAGAGCUGGUGUGAGAUCAGGUGAAAACUCCUCUGGUUGCCUCCACAUCAGGGGAAAUCCCCCAGCCAAGACCCCGCAGCUGCUUUUGCAGUCGCUCCAGAGACAAAGGAACGCCCUGGGAAGAGCAGAGCCUUCAGCCCGGGAAUAUUUGUUCCCUGGAUUUGUUCAGGACAAAUCUCCUCCAGAUCAAAGCCCCCCAGCCCAGAGCAGUGAGGGAAGGUCUGGACAGGAGCCAGCCUGGGGAAAUGGAGCAAAGUCUGGAUAA
Molecule: long non-coding RNA, 533 nt
Filed under: Serinus canaria (Common canary)
Lineage: Eukaryota; Metazoa; Chordata; Aves; Passeriformes; Fringillidae
Description: lncRNA (ENSSCAG00000006163.1)
Source: RNAcentral